RNAcentral lists this ribosomal RNA (1362 nucleotides) under Escherichia coli. RNAcentral describes it as "partial 23S ribosomal RNA". It matches the Rfam family "Bacterial large subunit ribosomal RNA", at positions 823 to 2167 of the family's 2925-position model. Lineage: Bacteria; Pseudomonadati; Pseudomonadota; Gammaproteobacteria; Enterobacterales; Enterobacteriaceae. The record is from RNAcentral.
GAAAGGCCAAUCAAACCGGGAGAUAGCUGGUUCUCCCCGAAAGCUAUUUAGGUAGCGCCUCGUGAAUUCAUCUCCGGGGGUAGAGCACUGUUUCGGCAAGGGGGUCAUCCCGACUUACCAACCCGAUGCAAACUGCGAAUACCGGAGAAUGUUAUCACGGGAGACACACGGCGGGUGCUAACGUCCGUCGUGAAGAGGGAAACAACCCAGACCGCCAGCUAAGGUCCCAAAGUCAUGGUUAAGUGGGAAACGAUGUGGGAAGGCCCAGACAGCCAGGAUGUUGGCUUAGAAGCAGCCAUCAUUUAAAGAAAGCGUAAUAGCUCACUGGUCGAGUCGGCCUGCGCGGAAGAUGUAACGGGGCUAAACCAUGCACCGAAGCUGCGGCAGCGACGCUGAUGCGUUGUUGGGUAGGGGAGCGUUCUGUAAGCCUGUGAAGGUGUGCUGUGAGGCAUGCUGGAGGUAUCAGAAGUGCGAAUGCUGACAUAAGUAACGAUAAAGCGGGUGAAAAGCCCGCUCGCCGGAAGACCAAGGGUUCCUGUCCAACGUUAAUCGGGGCAGGGUGAGUCGACCCCUAAGGCGAGGCCGAAAGGCGUAGUCGAUGGGAAACAGGUUAAUAUUCCUGUACUUGGUGUUACUGCGAAGGGGGGACGGAGAAGGCUAUGUUGGCCGGGCGACGGUUGUCCCGGUUUAAGCGUGUAGGCUGGUUUUCCAGGCAAAUCCGGAAAAUCAAGGCUGAGGCGUGAUGACGAGGCACUACGGUGCUGAAGCAACAAAUGCCCUGCUUCCAGGAAAAGCCUCUAAGCAUCAGGUAACAUCAAAUCGUACCCCAAACCGACACAGGUGGUCAGGUAGAGAAUACCAAGGCGCUUGAGAGAACUCGGGUGAAGGAACUAGGCAAAAUGGUGCCGUAACUUCGGGAGAAGGCACGCUGAUAUGUAGGUGAAGUCCCUCGCGGAUGGAGCUGAAAUCAGUCGAAGAUACCAGCUGGCUGCAACUGUUUAUUAAAAACACAGCACUGUGCAAACACGAAAGUGGACGUAUACGGUGUGACGCCUGCCCGGUGCCGGAAGGUUAAUUGAUGGGGUCAGCGCAAGCGAAGCUCUUGAUCGAAGCCCCGGUAAACGGCGGCCGUAACUAUAACGGUCCUAAGGUAGCGAAAUUCCUUGUCGGGUAAGUUCCGACCUGCACGAAUGGCGUAAUGAUGGCCAGGCUGUCUCCACCCGAGACUCAGUGAAAUUGAACUCGCUGUGAAGAUGCAGUGUACCCGCGGCAAGACGGAAAGACCCCGUGAACCUUUACUAUAGCUUGACACUGAACAUUGAGCCUUGAUGUGUAGGAUAGGUGGGAGGCUUUGAAGUGUGG